Molecule: long non-coding RNA, 2057 nt
Organism: Contarinia nasturtii (swede midge)
Lineage: Eukaryota; Metazoa; Arthropoda; Insecta; Diptera; Cecidomyiidae
Exons: 4
Source: RefSeq, a predicted model, not a curated record
CCAGAGUUCAGAGCAAGUAUAUCAUUUCACAAGUUGAUUCAUUUUUUCAGUGCAAAAAGAGAAAUGAACGCAAAAAAUUGGUUUUUCAUCUGUGCGUUAUUAUUUAUAGCGAUAAUAAAUAUAGCGAACACAAAUGAAGUUACCCAAAAUUAUGGAUAUAUCACGUCAGCCUUCCAACCACAGAGCUUCGGCCAAAAAUGCAAACCGCCAGCAGUACAUUGGAAUGGGAAAUAAAUGAUCGCAAAGAGUUGGAUUUUCAUCUGUAUGAUAUUAUUUAUAGCGAUGAUAAAUAGAGUGUUCUCAAACGAAAGUCCCGAAUUUGGAGUCAGUGCAAUAUUUUCAGGAUCAACGAGCAACUCACAAAAAUGCAAACCGCCAUCAGUUUAUUGGAACGGAAAGUGUAUAAAACGAUUCGGUUAAUCGGGUGAUUAAAUAAAACAUCCAACUUAUUCGAUAAUUUUGAGUAAACAAUUCAAUUACCAUUGCUUUUAAAUAGAUGUAGACAUCAAAAAUGACUCAAGAACGAAUGUGAUACUUCUUCCAAAAUGAAAAUUGUGAAGUUUCGACAGAAGUCAUUCAAGAAGGGAAUAGAUUGUGGAUACAGCUAGAGCAGUGCUAUUUCCGCAGCUCCUAUUCAUAGGCGCAAUUUGUGAUUUUAUGAUACAAUUCCGAACGAAAUGUUUGGAAUGCAGGACAAUAUAUUGUUUUUUUAUAUAAACAAAAUGCUAAAAUCAAUAAGUAUAUUCUUCUACAUUUUGAACAUUUCGUUCAGAAUUGUAUCAUAAAGCCGCUGUCAUAUGCGUUGAUCACAAACGCCCAUGAAUAAGAGCUGAGAAAAUAGCACUGCAAUAGCUGUAACCACAAUCUAAUCACUCAAACAUUCAUUCUCAGAUAAUCAUUUUUUCAUUUAUAAAAAAAAGUAUAAUUAUACGUAUGGCUUAAGCCAUAACUGUUUUAAAUAAAACUGAUCUCCAACAUCCUGUGUUUUACAUUUCUUAUCGCUUCUUUCUUUUCAACGAAUAAGGCAAAUUAAGUGUAGUGGGUGCAAUAAAAAAAACUAUUCAAAAUCACAGACUUGUACUUCCUUUUUUUACAGAUGUUUUUAUGCAAAACAUGCGAAUGUCACGUUAUCAGUUUAAUGAAACGAAUGAUUGUGUUUCAGCAAUGUAUUUUCUACCGACUGAUAUUGGAUUCGGAUUGUGUUUGAGUUUCGUUUUUCGUCGUAAACAUCAUUGUACAGUGGCGAUCAGUUCGAUUUUGAAGCUUGAAAGAAACACAGUACCUUAAAAUCAAUCAGUCAAUUUCUAUUUGAGAAAUAAAAGUGUUUUCUAUUUAAUCCUGAAAUGGAAGAAAAAACGUUGAUUUUCAUCAGUCUGUUAUUGAUAGUGUCAGCGGUGAUGAACACAGCUACGCCUUUUGGAAGACCCCAAUAUAUACAAUGUAAUCCACCGGAAAUAUAUCUAAAUGGAGAGUGCCAAUAUGUAAUGGGUGAUAGCCCAAUUAGUUCAAAUAUGGUGGAGUCUCGAAUAGCUCUAGGUCCUACCUUCAUCUCACAGAGAUGUAUACCACCACUAAGAUAUAUACCACGACUUGGAAAAUGCAAAUAAAUUAAUGAAAUAGAGAAAAAAAACAUACAAUUCUUGCGAGCUUACCUCCAUUAAAUACACUUUUAGAUACAACAUUUGUAUAAAUGACUCAAAUGUAACGCAACAUGUUGCAUGUUUCUUUUGUAUUAUAAACAUAACAAUUCGAUUUUGAUGAACUCGAAUACUAUUUAAUUAAGUAAUUUUAUCAAAAUCUCGUAGCAAACAAUACAUUUAAGUUUUUAGUGAAAAGAAUUCGACGGGGUCAAUAUAAUAUUAUAUUUAUAACGAAGACAAUGACAAUUAUUUUGAACGAUAAGCGAUAAGUGACUUUGUCUGAAUUGGCGAACCAUGUGAAAAGGGAAGAUAGUAAAAUAAUCAUGGCGUUAAAAUCAAAAUGAAAUGAAAUAAGCGUUAAUUACUACUUGAAUUCUGUGAAAAGGUCUUUGUAAAAAUAAAUAGUUUUUAUACAAA